Molecule: ribosomal RNA, 433 nt
Filed under: uncultured bacterium
Lineage: Bacteria
Description: partial 16S ribosomal RNA
Rfam family: Bacterial small subunit ribosomal RNA
Source: RNAcentral
AACGAACGCUGGCGGCAUGCCUAACACAUGCAAGUCGAACGAGACCUUCGGGUCUAGUGGCGCACGUGUGCGUAACGCGUGGGAACCUGCCCUUAGGUUCGGAAUAACUCCCCGAAAGGGGUGCUAAGACCGGAUAAUGUCUUCGGACCAAAGAUGUAUCGCCGUUGGAUGGGCCCGCGUUGGAUUAGCUAGUUGGUAGGGUAAAAGCCUACCAAGGCGACGAUCCAUAGCUGGUCUGAGAGGAUGAUCAGCCACACUGGGACUGAGACACGGCCCAGAAUCCUACGGAAGGCAGCAGUGGGGAAUAUUGGACAAUGGGCGAAAGCCUGAUCCAGCAAUGCCGCGUGAGUGAUGAAGGCCUUAGGGUUGUAAAGCUCUUUUACCCGGGAUGAUAAUGACAGUACCGGGAGAAUAAGCUCCGGCUAACUCCGUG